This 804-nucleotide ribosomal RNA is filed under the name uncultured bacterium. Its description in RNAcentral is "bacterial SSU rRNA". It matches the Rfam family "Bacterial small subunit ribosomal RNA", at positions 62 to 879 of the family's 1533-position model. The record is from RNAcentral.
UUGAGCGGAGAUUAUGGAGCUUGCUUUAUAUAACUUAGCAGCGAACGGGUGAGUAACACGUAGAUAAUCUAUCCUAUACUGGGGGAUAGCCCGAUGAAAGUUGGAUUAAUACCGCAUAUAGCUAUAUAGUUGCAUGAUUAUGUAGUGAAAGAUUUAUUGGUAUAGGAGGAGUAUGCGGCACAUUAGCUAGUAGGUGAGGUAAAGGCUUACCUAGGCGACGAUGUGUAGCCGGUCUGAGAGGAUGAACGGCCACAAUGGAACUGAGACACGGUCCAUACUCCUACGGGAGGCAGCAGUGGGGAAUAUUGCACAAUGGGGGAAACCCUGAUGCAGCAACGCCGCGUGAGUGAAGAAGGUUUUCGGAUUGUAAAGCUCUGUUAGCAGGGAAGAGGAAGGACGGUACCUGCAGAGGAAGCCACGGCUAACUACGUGCCAGCAGCCGCGGUAAUACGUAGGUGGCAAGCGUUGUUCGGAAUAACUGGGCGUAAAGGAUGCGUAGGCGGCUAAACAAGUUAUAUGUUAAAUAUAUAGGCUUAACCUGUAGAAAGCAUAUAAAACUGUUUAACUAGAGUGCAGGAGAGGUAAGUGGAAUUCCUAGUGUAGCGGUGAAAUGCGUAGAGAUUAGGAAGAACACCAGUGGCGAAGGCGACUUACUGGACUGUAACUGACGCUGAGGCAUGAGAGCAUGGGGAGCAAACAGGAUUAGAUACCCUGGUAGUCCAUGCUGUAAACGAUGGGUACUAGGUGUGGGUUGUGAAUAACAAUUCGUGCCGUCGCAAACGCAAUAAGUACCCCGCCUGAGGA